AACGAACGCUGGCGGCAUGCCUAACACAUGCAAGUCGAACGAGACCUUCGGGUCUAGUGGCGCACGGGUGCGUAACGCGUGGGAACCUGCCCUUAGGUUCGGCAUAACUCCCCGAAAGGGGUGCUAAUACCGGAUAAUGUCUUCGGCCCAAAGAUUUAUCGCCUUUGGAUGUGCCCGCGUUGGAUUAGCUAGUUGGUAGGGUAAAAGCCUACCAAGGCGACGAUCCAUAGCUGGUCUGAGAGGAUGAUCAGCCACACUGGGACUGAGACACGGCCCAGACUCCUACGGGAGGCAGCAGUGGGGAAUAUUGGACAAUGGGCGAAAGCCUGAUCCAGCAAUGCCGCGUGAGUGAUGAAGGCAUUAGGGUUGUAAAGCUCUUGUACCCGGGAUGAUAAUGACAGUACCGGGAGAAUAAGCUCCGGCUAACUCCGUG
Molecule: ribosomal RNA, 433 nt
Filed under: uncultured bacterium
Lineage: Bacteria
Description: partial 16S ribosomal RNA
Rfam family: Bacterial small subunit ribosomal RNA
Source: RNAcentral